RNAcentral lists this ribosomal RNA (308 nucleotides) under uncultured bacterium. RNAcentral's name for it is "bacterial SSU rRNA". It matches the Rfam family "Bacterial small subunit ribosomal RNA", at positions 80 to 383 of the family's 1533-position model. The record is from RNAcentral.
UUCCUCCGCCGGCGACAAAAGCACGGGUGAGUAACACGUAUGCAACCUGCCCUCGGCAGGGGGAUAAUCCGGAGAAAUCCGGUCGAAUACGCGCGUGGCACCCCUGAGGGGCAUCCCUUGGGGGUUAAGGGAAGCGAUUCCGGCCGAGGAUGGGCAUGCGUCGCAUUAGGCAGUUGGCGGUGUAGCGGACCACCAAACCGACGAUGCGUAGGGGUUCUGAGAGGAAGGUCCCCCACACUGGGGGUGAGACACGGACCAGACUCCUACGGGAGGCAGCAGUGAGGAAUAUUGGUCAAUGGGCGGAAGCC